GAGAGAGAGAGAGAAUGGUGAGACAAUGGAGAGAAAGGGUCAUUGGAGGAGGAGAAGUUGGAUGUGCUGCUGGUUGUGCUGCUGGUUGUGGUGGCUGAGUACGUACUCAGUAACAAACCCUACCUUGUUCUCCAAACAACCACUAAAAGAAAACUCUAUAAUUCCAUCCAAGUAGCCAUAACAUUGGUUUGGAGAGUGGAUCUCGAAUCAGUUUGAAGAUUGCUCCCUUCUCAAAAUCUGAGUGUCAAAAGUUCAAAUCAAGAGAAUAAAAGCAUAGGAGUUUCCUGCAUAUUUCUGUUUGAUGUUUUAGGGUAGAUUAUGUUUGAUAUAUUAUUGUUACUUGAAUAGGUUAAUUAGUUCAAGUUUUAACUGAUGAAAGCCUUCAUCCUUCACUCA
Tripterygium wilfordii is the source of this 396-nucleotide long non-coding RNA. RefSeq lists it as uncharacterized. The record is from RefSeq and is a predicted model, not a curated record. NCBI's taxonomy places the organism in Eukaryota, Viridiplantae, Streptophyta, Magnoliopsida, Celastrales, Celastraceae. The transcript is spliced from 2 exons.